GACGAACGCUGGCGGCGUGCUUAACACAUGCCAGUCGAACGGAAAGGCCCUGCUUUUGUGGGGUGCUCGAGUGGCGAACGGGUGAGUAACACGUGAGUAGCCUGCCCUUGACUUUGGGAUAACUUCAGGAAACUGGGGCUAAUACCGGAUAGGAGCUCCUGCGGCAUGGUGGGGGUUGGAAAGUUUCGGCGGUUGGGGAUGGACUCGCGGCUUAUCAGCUUGUUGGUGGGGUAGUGGCUUACCAAGGCUUUGACGGGUAGCCGGCCUGAGAGGGUGACCGGCCACAUUGGGACUGAGAUACGGCCCAGACGCCUACGGGAGGCAGCAGUGGGGAAUAUUGCACAAUGGGCGGAAGCCUGAUGCAGCAACGCCGCGUGCGGGAUGACGGCCUUCGGGUUGUAAACCGCUUUCGCCUGUGACGAAGCGUGAGUGACGGUAGUGGGUAAAGAAGCACCGGCUAACUACGUG
RNAcentral lists this ribosomal RNA (468 nucleotides) under uncultured bacterium. RNAcentral describes it as "partial 16S ribosomal RNA". It matches the Rfam family "Bacterial small subunit ribosomal RNA", at positions 28 to 507 of the family's 1533-position model. The record is from RNAcentral.